RNAcentral lists this long non-coding RNA (3765 nucleotides) under Lactuca sativa (garden lettuce). Its description in RNAcentral is "long non-coding RNA (LSAT_LNC004514)". The record is from RNAcentral. Lineage: Eukaryota; Viridiplantae; Streptophyta; Magnoliopsida; Asterales; Asteraceae.
UCUGACUUCUCCAAAAGGAUCGUUGGGUACCUGUCUAAUAUGGACCUGAGAAUACAAGCAGUUUGAAAAUCAGCAUAAAUCUGGUGAGUUCAUAAGAUGUUUGUUUUCUGAAAAUGUACGAGUUCGCUUUUGUUUUCGAAAAAGAUUGUUAUCCAAGAAAAUCCUAUAUUUUCUUAUAUGUAAAGUUUGAUUAACUGUUUUACUACACGAAUCUGGUUAUGUACAAUUGUCAUCCCAGGAAAAUCCUAUAUUUUCCUAAAAGUAAUGUUUCGUUAUUGAACUGCAAUGAAUACUUGAUUAUCUAUUAUACUUGUCAUAUUAGCUAGGUAUUCUGAUAUCCUAAUCGUGUUACACAUGAAUGUAACUAGACGUGUGCCUUCAUUUUCGUAUUCUUAUCCUUGAUCAUAUACAUAUUCAUAUUUUAUAUUUGUGUUUGUAUUUAUAUUUGUAGUCCUAUUCAUAUUCGUAUUUGCAUUCGUAUUCGUCUUCGCAGUCGUAUUCGUAUCCCUAUUCCUACUCCUAAUACUAUUCGUAUUCGUAUCCGUAUUCGUAUUCGUAUUCGUAUUCGCAGUCGUAUUCGUAUCCCUAUUCCUACUCCUAAUACUAUUCGUAUUCGUAUUCGUAUUCGUAUUCGUAUUCGUAUUCGUAUUCGUAUUCGCAGUCGUAUUUGUAUCCAUAUUCCUACUCUUAAUAAUAUUCGUAUUCGUAUUCUUUCUAAUCCUAGUUAUACUUUCGUAUUCGUUAUGUUCCUAAUUGUGCUUUCGUAUUCGUUGUGUUCCUAGUUGUGCUUUCGUAUUCGUUCUGUUCCUAGUUGUGCUUUCGUAUUCGUUCUGUUCCNUUAAUUCGGAUUCUCGCAUGGCAUUUCGUGGAACCUUUUACUUCUCGAGAGACGACUUGCUUCAUACAUUUAACCUUUUGAUCUAUGAUUUCGAUUGAUUCUACCAUGAGGUUCAGACUUUUGACGAUUUUGGUCUCAUCAAAGGGAGUACUAUGGUUUCAUCAGGUAGACACUUCUUAAGGACAGAGACGGGGAAUACUGGGUGGAUGCCACUAAGUCAUGAGGGUAGUCGGAGUUCGUAGGUUACGGGAUCAAUCCUAAUGAGGAUUUCGAAAAGUACUGUGUUCCUUGGGAUACGUGUUUCAGAAUGUAACACACCAUCUUUCUCAUUGUUGGCUACCUAGAUGGAGGACGUUUCGGUAACUAAUUGAGGACUAUGUUUAUGAAGAGAUUCGGAUGAAUAGGUAACAGUUUAUCUUUUAGGACUAGAAUUGAAAAAGAAUUGCCAGCAGAAGGGUUGUCGAAGAGGAAUAUACCUGAGGCAAUGGUGGGAUCGGCGGCUGUCUCACCUUUCCCUAUAGCUAGGACUCUUCCAGUGUUGCCAGUUGUUACUGUAUUGGGGCAGUUUCUCUUAUAAUGCCCGACUUUACCGCAACCAAAACAGGUCUGACUGAUGCCUGCUCCGAAAGCCUGGUUUAUUGGUGUUCUGCAACUCCACGCAAGGUGACCCUCUUGGCCACAAUUUUUGCAAAAUUUUACAUGACAGGGACCGGGGAUGUAGUGGUGGUAACUGCACUGGUUACACCACGGGAGAACACCGGCAUAUCCGGUGAUAGGUGCUUAGGCUGAGGAAUCGAUGACAGAUACGACAGCAGGGGUAGUGGCAGCAUGGACAGCCAACAUCUGUUGUCUCUUUGAGAACUCCUGCGAGGGCUGACAUUUCUCCCUCGCCUCCCAAAACUUUCUUUUCUCACCACUUCUUUUUGUCGGCUCAGGAGUGGUGGCCGCUUCCUCUACAUCCUCACUAUGGUCGAUCAAGAUUUGCGCUAGGCAUUUGGCGCUGUCGUAUGUAUCCGGCUUCGCAGCUAAAACGUUUCCUUUGGUUGGCUGGGUCAACCCCCAGAUGAACCUCUCUACCUUUUUGCUUUCCGGGGUAACCAUCCCCAUACAAAGAAGUGCCAAGUCGUCAAACCUUGAAGUGUAAGCGGUGAUAUCAGAAACUUUCAUCUUUAGGUUCCAGAGUUCAUGCUCCAGCUUCUGAAUUUCACCCCGAGGGCAAUACUCUGCGUGCAGAAGUUCCUUCAUAACUUCCCAAACCAUAGCAUUGGCUACAGGUAGAGUUAGGGAUUUGACUCGGCCGUUCCACCAAGUCAGAGCUUUAUUGGUGAGAGUGCAGGCGGCAAAUUUCACCUUGUCGAAUUCUGAACAAGCACAGAUCUUGAAGAUAGAUUCGAUCUUCUCUAACCACCAAGUUAGAGCAAUGACGCCUCCUGUGCCAUUGAAGAAUGUGGGUUUUGCAUUCAUAAAGUCCUUAUAGGAACACUCCUUUCGGUGUCCCGGGCUACCUUCCUGGUUUUGAGGCUGGGGACCACUUCCUGAACUACCGGGGAUCGUUUGCGACAUGGCUGCUGAAAAUGCUGCAGUUAAAACUGUCUGAACGGUUUCCAGGUCGAUUUGAAGAGAAGGUGGUAGUGGAGGAGGAUUGUUGUCGGUCUUUGAACUGGGUCUCUUUCUUGGAGGCAUCUUGAUCUAAUAAGAUCAGGAAAGAAAGGAUGGUAAGUCCUCCGAAUUGAAUCAAGAGAUAUGAAACAAGGGAUAUCUCUUUACGACAGGCAUAGAAUUCUAUUUAAGCGAUAAAGCAGGAAUGAAUUAUCAAAACAGAUAAAUUAUCGCUAAAGGAAUGAUUGAGGAGCAACGCUGGGAUGAGGAUUUCUAUAACGGAUUUGGCUCGAGAAAUACUCCCAUAGUAUUUCAUGUCUCGCUGCAGCGACGGAUCAUUGUUUGGGUAUUGGGUAAGUUUUAGGCAUGCUGUACACCACAGUCACUCCCGAGCACAUGUUGGCCGUGUCUCGAAUGAAUAUAGUUGGCUAGGCUAUAUUGAUCCUAGACACGACUACAUAACUUCCAGGUUUAACCGCAAAGUACAACACCCAUUUACUUAUGUUUUGUUCUACUUGUAGUUAUGGAUCUCGACGGUUUGGUAUACUUGUAUACUAUUGAAAAUAGUUAUAUUCGAGGUAUACUUUUAGUUCAGAGCACUUAGGCCCUUUAGUGUUUAUAGUUUUAUACCAUGUAACGUAUGGUAUACUAGUUCACUAUAAACAAGGGCUCUGAUACCAAACUAUCACACCCCGAAAACCGAAGGCGAAAACAUUUCCGGGGCGGACUCCACAUUGAGUAUCAAAUCCAAAGUACAUAGUAAGCAAGUAAACAACCAUUACAUUACAUAUUAGAAUUUACAUUUGUUCAAAAGUAAAGUGUUACAAGUUUAUACAUAUAUCAUAAGAACAAAAGUAGAGACGAGUCUUCUGUACGCUCUGUCUUCUCCAAAAGGAUCGUUGGGUACCUGUCUAAUAUGGACCUGAGAAUACAAGCAGUUUGAAAAUCAGCAUAAAUCUGGUGAGUUCAUAAGAUGUUUGUUUUCUGAAAAUGUACGAGUUCGCUUUUGUUUUCAGAAAAGAUUGUUAUCCAAGAAAAUCCUAUAUUUUCUUAUAUGUAAAGUUUGAUUAACUGUUUUACUACACGAAUCUGGUUAUGUACAAUUGUCAUCCCAGGAAAAUCCUAUAUUUUCCUAAAAGUAAUGUUUCGUUAUUGAACUGCAAUGAAUACUUGAUUAUCUAUUAUACUUGUCAUAUUAGCUAGGUAUUCUGAUAUCCUAAUCGUGUUACACAUGAAUGUAACUAGACGUGUGCCUUCAUUUUCGUAUUCUUAUCCUUGAUCAUAUACAUAUUCAUAUUUUAUAUUUGUGUUUGUAUUUAUAUUUGUAG